RNAcentral lists this ribosomal RNA (448 nucleotides) under uncultured bacterium. Its description in RNAcentral is "SSU rRNA". It matches the Rfam family "Bacterial small subunit ribosomal RNA", at positions 26 to 518 of the family's 1533-position model. The record is from RNAcentral.
AGAGCGAACGCUGGCGGCAGGCUUAACACAUGCAAGUCGAGCGGGCGUAGCAAUACGUCAGCGGCAGACGGGUGAGUAACGCGUGGGAACGUACCUUUGGUUCGGAACAACACAGGGAAACUUGUGCUAAUACCGGAUAAGCCCUUACGGGGAAAGAUUUAUCGCCGAAAGAUCGGCCCGCGUCUGAUUAGCUAGUUGGUGAGGUAACGGCUCACCAAGGCGACGAUCAGUAGCUGGUCUGAGAGGAUGAUCAGCCACAUUGGGACUGAGACACGGCCCAAACUCCUACGGGAGGCAGCAAUGGGGAAUAUUGGACAAUGGGCGCAAGCCUGAUCCAGCCAUGCCGCGUGAGUGAUGAAGGCCCUAGGGUUGUAAAGCUCUUUUGUGCGGGAAGAUAAUGACGGUACCGCAAAGAAUAAGCCCCGGCUAACUUCGCGCCAGCAGCCGC